GAGGGUAUAGCUCAGUGGUAGUUCACGUGUUUAGCAUGCAUGAGGUCCUGGGUUCAAUCCCCAGUACCAUCA
RNAcentral lists this transfer RNA (72 nucleotides) under Camelus bactrianus (Bactrian camel). It matches the Rfam family "tRNA". Rfam says of the family: Transfer RNA (tRNA) molecules are approximately 80 nucleotides in length. Their secondary structure includes four short double-helical elements and three loops (D, anti-codon, and T loops). The record is from Rfam by way of RNAcentral. Lineage: Eukaryota; Metazoa; Chordata; Mammalia; Artiodactyla; Camelidae. RNAcentral also lists the same sequence under 1 other name.